This 440-nucleotide ribosomal RNA is filed under the name uncultured bacterium. RNAcentral's name for it is "partial 16S ribosomal RNA". It matches the Rfam family "Bacterial small subunit ribosomal RNA", at positions 338 to 795 of the family's 1533-position model. The record is from RNAcentral.
CCUACGGGGGGCUGCAGUGGGGGAUAUUCCACAAUGGGGGGAACCCUGAUGCAGCGACGCCGCGUGGGUGAAGAAGCGCCUCGGCGCGUAAAGCCCUGUCAGCAGGGAAGAAAAUGACGGUACCUGAAGAAGAAGCCCCGGCUAACUACGUGCCAGCAGCCGCGGUAAUACGUAGGGGGCAAGCGUUAUCCGGAUUUACUGGGUGUAAAGGGGGCGCAGACGGCGAUGCAAGCCAGGAGUGAAAGCCCGGGGCCUAACCCCGGGACUGCUCUUGGAACUGCGUGGCUGGAGGGCAGGAGGGGCAGGCGGAAUUCCUGGUGUAGCGGUGGAAUGCGUAGAUAUCAGGAGGAACACCGGUGGCGAAGGCGGCCUGCUGGACUGCAACUGACGUUGAGGCCCGAAAGCGUGGGGAGCAAACAGGAUUAGAUACCCGAGUAGUC